RNAcentral lists this ribosomal RNA (429 nucleotides) under bacterium. Its description in RNAcentral is "partial 16S ribosomal RNA". It matches the Rfam family "Bacterial small subunit ribosomal RNA", at positions 355 to 776 of the family's 1533-position model. The record is from RNAcentral.
UAGGGAAUCUUCCACAAUGGACGCAAGUCUGAUGGAGCAACGCCGCGUGAGUGAAGAAGGUUUUCGGAUCGUAAAGCUCUGUUGUUGGUGAAGAAGGAUAGAGGUAGUAACUGGCCUUUAUUUGACGGUAAUCAACCAGAAAGUCACGGCUAACUACGUGCCAGCAGCCGCGGUAAUACGUAGGUGGCAAGCGUUGUCCGGAUUUAUUGGGCGUAAAGCGAGCGCAGGCGGAAGAAUAAGUCUGAUGUGAAAGCCCUCGGCUUAACCGAGGAACUGCAUCGGAAACUGUUUUUCUUGAGUGCAGAAGAGGAAAGUGGAAUUCCAUGUGUAGCGGUGGAAUGCGUAGAUAUAUGGAAGAACACCAGUGGCGAAGGCGACUCUCUGGUCUGCAACUGACGCUGAGGCUCGAAAGCAUGGGUAGCGAACAGG